Molecule: long non-coding RNA, 1001 nt
Filed under: Homo sapiens (human)
Lineage: Eukaryota; Metazoa; Chordata; Mammalia; Primates; Hominidae
Description: HSALNT0178144
Source: RNAcentral
UAGAUGGCAUCUCCUUUCCUUGGACUUUAUAGGAUAUAGAUGUGUCAGCUUGAACUAUAGCAGCAAUCUUGUGAUUAUUGGGGAAGCUAGCAUCUAAGAGCAAAGUCAAUACACUGAGAAAGGCAGAGCAGAAAGACAGAACAACCUGGUUCUUGUAGACAUUGCUGGGUAGGAGGGAAUUAACCAGUCCUGGAAGCUUCGGACUUCCCUUUUUUUUUUUUUUUUUUUUUUGAGACGGAGUCUUGCUCUUGUCACCCAGGCUGGAGGGCAACGGCAUGAUCUUGGCUCAUUGCAACCUUCGCCUCCCAGGUUCAAGCGAUUCUUUCGCCUCAGCCUCCUGAGUACCUGGGAUUACAGGCGCCUGCCGCCACGCCUGGCUAAUUUUAUUUUAUUUUAUACUUACUUAUUAAUUUUUUUUUUUGAGACAGAGUCUCGCUCUGUCGCCUAGGCUGGAGUGCAGUGGCGCGAUCUCCGCUCACUGCGAGCUCCGCCUCCCGGGUUCACGCCAUUCUCCUGUCUUAGACUCCCAAGUAGCUGGGACUACAUUGGACUACAGGCGCGUGCCACCACGCCUGGCUACGAUGUAGGUGUUCUUGCAAGCCUCCUCUGGAAAGACUGCACACUGUCCUUGAUAAUCUCCGAUCUGGACAACAGCAAUAACAGCGUGUCAGGUAAAGCCAGGAAGACAGUUGGUAUGAAAAGUGAUUUGGAAAUUUUUUGUCUUUAUUGAUGAAAAUAAUGCGAAUUGGUUUUGUUUUGUUUUGGUGGAUUUUUUUUUUUUUUUUUGAGACGGAGUCUCGCUCUGUCACCCAGGCUGGAGUGCAGUGGCAUGAUCUCGGCUCACUGAAAUCUCCACUUCCCAGGCUCAAGGAAUCCUCCCAUCUCAACCUCCUGAGUAGCUGGGAUCACAGAAGUGCACCACCAUGCCUGGCUAAUUUUUUGUAUUUUUGGUAGAGAUGAGGUUUCAUCAUGUUGCCCAGGCUGGUCUAGAAAUUAAUGUG